RNAcentral lists this ribosomal RNA (400 nucleotides) under uncultured bacterium. RNAcentral describes it as "bacterial SSU rRNA". It matches the Rfam family "Bacterial small subunit ribosomal RNA", at positions 356 to 773 of the family's 1533-position model. The record is from RNAcentral.
GAGGAAUCUUGCGCAAUGGGGGAAACCCUGACGCAGCGACGCCGCGUGGGUGAGGACGUUCUUCGGAAUGUAAAGCCCUUUUGUCGAGGACGAAAUUGACGGUACUCGGCGAAUAAGCCCCGGCUAACUACGUGCCAGCAGCCGCGGGAAUACGUAGGGGGCAAGCGUUGUCCGGAUUUACUGGGCGUAAAGAGCGCGUAGGCGGAAGUUUAAGCGGUGCUUGAAAGCCCCCGGCUCAACCGGGGAGAGUGGUGCCGAACUGGACUUCUUGAGGGCGAUAGAGGAGAGUGGAAUUCCGGGUGUAGCGGUGAAAUGCGUAGAGAUCCGGAGGAACACCAGUGGCGCAGGCGGCUCUCUGGGUCGGCCCUGACGCUGAGGCGCGAAAGCGUGGGGAGCGAAC